This 73-nucleotide transfer RNA is filed under the name Propionispora sp. 2/2-37. It matches the Rfam family "tRNA". Rfam says of the family: Transfer RNA (tRNA) molecules are approximately 80 nucleotides in length. Their secondary structure includes four short double-helical elements and three loops (D, anti-codon, and T loops). The record is from Rfam by way of RNAcentral. Lineage: Bacteria; Bacillati; Bacillota; Negativicutes; Selenomonadales; Sporomusaceae.
GCUGGUAUAGCUCAGUUGGUAGAGCAGCUCAUUCGUAAUGAGCAGGUCGCGGGUUCGAGUCCCAUUACCAGCU